RNAcentral lists this ribosomal RNA (404 nucleotides) under uncultured bacterium. RNAcentral describes it as "bacterial SSU rRNA". It matches the Rfam family "Bacterial small subunit ribosomal RNA", at positions 355 to 776 of the family's 1533-position model. The record is from RNAcentral.
UGGGGAAUAUUGCGCAAUGGGGGAAACCCUGACGCAGCGAUGCCGCGUGGGUGAAGAAGGCCUUCGGGUUGUAAAGCCCUUUCAGUGGGGAAGAUAGUGACGGUACCCACAGAAGAAGCUCCGGCUAACUCCGUGCCAGCAGCCGCGGUAAUACGGAGGGGGCGAGCGUUGUUCGGAAUUAUUGGGCGUAAAGGGCGCGUAGGCGGUUAAUCAAGUCAGGAGUGAAAGCCCCAGGCUCAACCUGGGAACUGCUUUUGAAACUGAAUAACUGGAGUCCGGCAGAGGGUGGUGGAAUUCCCCGUGUAGAGGUGAAAUUCGUAGAUAUGGGGAGGAAGACCGGAGGCGAAGGCGGCCACCUGGACCGGUACUGACGCUAAGGCGCGAAAGCGUGGGGAGCAAACAGG